This 317-nucleotide long non-coding RNA is filed under the name Mytilus galloprovincialis (Mediterranean mussel). The record is from RNAcentral. Lineage: Eukaryota; Metazoa; Mollusca; Bivalvia; Mytilida; Mytilidae.
UGUCUCUCAUAGAUAAUAUGUCGUUGAAGUCACCCCCAAUUAUUAACUGGCCAAUACUGUGAUUUUCAAUUAAUUGUUUUACUGAUUUAAAAAAGGUGUUUCUUACUUUACAAUUAUUAGGUGCAUAUAGGUUCACUAAUGUAUAUAUAUUGUCAUCUAUUUCUAUAUUAACUAAUAUGAAUCUACCUUCUGAAUCCUUAUAUUGGUCAAUAAUCUUAAAGUUUAAUCUGCUUUUUAUCCAUAUGGCAACCCCUCUUGCAUUACUUAACCCGUUACUAAAGAUUACUUCACCUUUGAAUUCUUGUUUUAGCUUUGGU